AGGGAAACAAGCCAAGGAACUCACAUGGAGAAGACACGCAGUGCCUAUUGAAGAAGGGAACGUGGUUCUGGAUCCAGACACAGCCCACUGUGAGCUUGUUGUGUC
This is a long non-coding RNA of Empidonax traillii (willow flycatcher), 105 nucleotides long. RefSeq lists it as uncharacterized. The record is from RefSeq and is a predicted model, not a curated record. NCBI's taxonomy places the organism in Eukaryota, Metazoa, Chordata, Aves, Passeriformes, Tyrannidae. The transcript has 3 exons.